UACGUAGGGGGCAAGCGUUGUCCGGAAUCAUUGGGCGUAAAGCGCGUGUAGGCGGUUCGAUAAGUCUGCUGUGAAAGUCCAGGGCUCAACCCUGGAAAGCCGGUGGAUACUGUCGGACUAGAGUGCGGAAGAGGCGAGUGGAAUUCCUGGUGUAGCGGUGAAAUGCGCAGAUAUCAGGAGGAACACCAAUUGCGAAGGCAGCUCGCUGGGACGUUACUGACGCUGAGACGCGAAAGCGUGGGGAGCAAACAGG
RNAcentral lists this ribosomal RNA (253 nucleotides) under uncultured bacterium. RNAcentral describes it as "partial 16S ribosomal RNA". It matches the Rfam family "Bacterial small subunit ribosomal RNA", at positions 524 to 776 of the family's 1533-position model. The record is from RNAcentral.